UACCAUGACUAGUUUAACCGCCA
Molecule: non-coding RNA, 23 nt
Filed under: Arabidopsis thaliana (thale cress)
Lineage: Eukaryota; Viridiplantae; Streptophyta; Magnoliopsida; Brassicales; Brassicaceae
Source: RNAcentral